CAAUUCUAAAAGGACUAAGAGACUUUGGAUUAACCUUGAGCAGCGUUUUUAUUCCCUUGAACACGACUUUUGAUCACAAAACAGCAACGAUGGGUUGAGCUGUAUGGACCUGACUCUGUGUGCACCUGCUGCGACUCCAACUGUAGCUCUGCUGCAUCCACAGUGACCAAGUAAUCAGCAGCAGGCCGUGGACAAUAGAUCCUAAAGGGAAACCCACCACAGCCCUGAAGAGAAAGAAGGUCUCCACAGCAACAACAACAAAAGUGGCACCUCAGCCAGAGACGAAGAGCGAGGUGACUGAGUGGAGGAAAUCUUCUCAGCCUGAAGAGAGAGAGGGUAAGGUGGAGGACUCUGGGGAGGAGUGGCCGAUUGGAGGCAGAGGAGUGACCUGGGUUGAGAUGGAAGGUGAGGAGGAGUUGGUGAAGGGCUCUGCUGUUGUGGAGAAGACGGAGAAGAAGGAGGAGGAGGAGGAGGAGGAGAAGAAGGAGAAGGAGGAGUAGGAGAAGG
Molecule: long non-coding RNA, 507 nt
Organism: Trematomus bernacchii (emerald rockcod)
Lineage: Eukaryota; Metazoa; Chordata; Actinopteri; Perciformes; Nototheniidae
Exons: 3
Source: RefSeq, a predicted model, not a curated record